Molecule: long non-coding RNA, 1980 nt
Organism: Bombus impatiens (common eastern bumble bee)
Lineage: Eukaryota; Metazoa; Arthropoda; Insecta; Hymenoptera; Apidae
Exons: 2
Source: RefSeq, a predicted model, not a curated record
UUCUCCUUUCUCUUUUUCUUUCCUUUCCUUCCUUUUCCUCUUUUCCUUCGAUUCUUUCUUUCUUAACCUUAACGACCAAAUCCCAUUUCUCUCCUCUUUCACGAGGCUAAGGUUAAAUAUAAGCAUGGAUGGAACAAGUCACUCACCUCACGAGUGCAUUUCAGCGUGAUGCGGCAAUGCGGCUGGACGGCGUUUUCUAAAAUUACGUGAAAAAGAAGAAUUAACCGAAGAAAGAUUCAAAGGACGAUCAUAUACUUUGCCUUCCAAUCGACAAUCGAGUAACGUUCUACUUUCAGCCGUUUUUGAUAGCGCAUGAAACACGCUAAAAAAAGGGAAUAUGUACAUAUUGAAAAGGGCGAACAACUUCUUACCCAAACUAUCGCCUGGUGUGAAAGAUACUAUUGAAACUCAAGCAAGAAAUUUUCUUUUAAAGAUUCGUAUAAAUACAUAGGUCCUUAUCUUGAAACGAGCGAGACGGGUGAAAUGAUCCAGUUGUCGAUUCACGACGAACAUGAUCAUCGAGGGAGACCUUGCGGUAAUGUGCUUACGCGUCGCGGGGAGAGAAACCCCGCGCCAAUAAUCCGUAACAUUAUAUAACUGUUGGUAAUGCUCCAUUCGCGCGUGAAACGAAUCGCGUAGUAACUAAGUACUACGCCUGUAUACAAUAAAUAUUACUUGUGCUGUUGCUUGUUGCACAUUGCACAUUGUACAAGAAUAUCUAAAGUUUCAAAUCUCACCAUUCUGUCUAGACACAUACUCAGGUACAUUUAUGCGUUCGCGAUCUUUACGUAGCUGUUCCAAUGCUUUCUAAAAAUCCACGCCUUAAUACAUGGCCUAUUAUCGUAUAAACGAACUGUUAUGCUUCACUAGGUAUAUGCUAAUGAAAAAUACUUGUUAAAAAGUAUUGCACUGUCGCGAAUUGAAUGUAUCAGAACAACAUGGUGAUGAAGAAGGUUUACAGAAUUGAUACAGGUCGUAUUAGCUAGGUUAUAACCUACUUCAAACACAUGCAUGAACGACAACACGAUUUUCUCUCUGCUAUUUCGGGAAUUUUCUUAUCCAAGGAUAAGAUAACUACUUAAAUACUGGCUCAACGUUCGACAAAUUUCGUAAAGCAAAUAAUAGUUUUUCUGCUAUGCUUUACACUAGACUGCAUAAAACUUCAUCAAGGCAACGUCUUUGAUAACGAACAUAUUUUAUGGCAGAAAACCAAGAUUUUAUACGAAAAAAGAGAAUUAUUUUCUUUUUUUGUGAAGCGCGCGAAAGCGUGACUAUGUACGAUGCAGCUUUCUCUCUCUCUUUCUCUCUCUUUGUUGUACGCUUUACCAUAAGCUUUCACGGUCUCGCGACACCAACUUAGUUCCAGUAUGAACGCGAGACGCGUCCAAGUCCAAACUCAUCGUAUCGUACGAAGUAUAUACGUACAUACGGCAAGCAAAGAGGGAAGACGUUCAGAGCGUGCACUAUGCACUACAACGGUUAGGCACACACACGUACACACGCACGCGCAUUUCUGCGUAUGCAAUAUAGUGAAUAAGGAGUAAGGAAUACAUAUUAUUAAGUAGAAAAUUCAAUCCUUUAUUAUUGUAAAAAAUGAACAAGACAUAAUAAAAAGAUACGUUCGAAAUUAUAUAUAUAUUAUAAAGUAUUUUUUUCUUUUUCUUAUGCAAAGAAAAUCGUGCUGUUUUAGAAUGAACCAAGAAUGCAUGAAGAACAACAUGGAUAGGCUAUUUUUGGGCUUCUGUUUAUACCGAUAUAAAAUGAAUAAGACAAGAUAGAAACUUCUCUAACAAAUCAAGGAAGGGUACUUAUGAAACAUUGAAUUAAUGGAAAUCGCGAUAAAAAUGUGAUACGCAGAUCGAAAACGAUAUGUACUAAACAGGAAUCAAUCGUAUCAUAAAGUAAUGUUUAAAAGUUAAGAAUUGUAACUCCAUAACUAAAAAAGCGCGUGCGAUAACUAGUAUUCAGUAUAAUAUAUAA